Long non-coding RNA from Numida meleagris (helmeted guineafowl), 514 nucleotides. RefSeq lists it as uncharacterized. The record is from RefSeq and is a predicted model, not a curated record. NCBI's taxonomy places the organism in Eukaryota, Metazoa, Chordata, Aves, Galliformes, Numididae. The transcript has 3 exons.
GUAAGUAACCUGGGGUUUCUUACUGGGUUGUUUUUGUUUUUGCAGGCUCUCACUUGUCAAGUGCAGCAGGAAGGUGUCUUGGUUGGAGGAGAGUAGAGGAGGGAAGGAAUAACAUGCAUUUCUAUGCUUCUCUGAGCCUGGAGCUGCUGGUGCAGGAAGUAGAGCAGCCUUGUUUCUGUUCUCAUUGAAACCACUCAUUAAUAUUCCCCAGGGGACAACUACUCAGCUGGGAGCUUUAUGAAGCAGUACCAUCUCCCAAGGGUCAAUCCCUCGAGGUCGUAGAAUGAUAGAAUAUCCCAAGUUGGAAGGGACCCACAAGGAUCAUUGAGGUCUACAAGGAGGCUUCAAGUGACUUCUGUAUUUUCAGAGCUGGCAGAACACAAUGUAAGCACCUGAGCAAACUGCUACAAGCCAAUGCUGGGAAAAUCUGAAUACAGAUGGAAUGAAAAGUAACAGAUCUAGUGUACCACAGCAAGGAGUGCAACACAGCUACUUCUGUGUUACAGAUAUUGGG